AGGAGAGGGAGAGAAGGGGCCUUGCUGUGACUUGGAUAUGGCCUGUCCCAGAAGGGAAGCUGGGAAACGACUAGAAGCGUGGCCCCAGGUGUGGAAGUGGGUGGGUGUAAACCUUCAAGAGGUGAGGCCCAGGGAAGGUGAUUAGGCCACAGGCUCCACCCUGAAGAAGCAAUCAGUGCUCUCGUGGGGUGGGUGGGGCCUCGCUGGAAGGAGUUAAGUCUGCCCAGACCAGAUUGUUAAAAAGAGAGGCGACGGCUGCUCCCUUCAUCCCUUCUGUGCUUGGCUUGCUCCCUGUCUGCUUCUCAACCAUGCUGAGAUGCAGCCAGAGGCUCUUGCCAGGACGCCGGUGUCAUGCCAUUUGGACCCUCCAGCCACCAGAAUUGAUGUACCUGGGGAAUGUGUGAGAAAAGGAAUGAAAAAGGGAAUGGCCUUUUGGAGGGGGGAAUCAAUUUUGACCAGCUGACACUGGAUAAGUCAAUUUUGGCACCAGAUCUUCUUAGGAUGAUGUGAGAGCCCAGGUUCUCUGGACGGUGGGUGAGGACAUGGACCAGGGAGCUCACACCCCACAGCUUAGCUAAGUGACCCCCAGGAAAUGCUGGGGAAGAAGAACUAACAAAACCUGGGGGCACUCUUAUGGAUCCACGCCAAACAUAUCAGGGACUACUUCCAGAUGAUGUGGACUGUACACAAAGCUCGGAUGAAUCUCUUUCCAUGGGCACAUGUGACAAAUGACCUCCAUCUACAGAGUCCCCCUCCACUCUCCUCCAGUCAGUGUUCAGUUCAGAAGUGCUCAUCUCACUGCUUUCUCAGUCUCAGUUCACUUCCUCCCUGAUGGCAUGUGCCAUGAUUUCUAAUUAUCAUAUAUAUACACGAAUGGCUCCCAGCCCCAAAAACUCUUCGGUGAUAGGGAUUUUGUCUCCUUCAACUUAUCACCCAAGUGCCAAGUCUUGGGUCUGGUAAACACUAAAUACUCAGCCACUGUAGGCGCUGAAUAAAUGAUUUCAACUUGCAUGAGAAACAGAUGCCUACUAAUUUCUGGAUUAGUUGUUGGUGGUCAGUGGCAAGCCCCCUUCUAAUUUUGUCCCUCCAUUGCUGUGCAGAAAUCCUAUCUGGAUUUUGUAUUAGAUAAAUGGCCUUUGCCUGUGAAAACUCUAACCCAGGCCCCAGUGAAGCUCUUUUGAAAGACAGCCAUCUCAAAAGAAGAGGAACCCAUCGAGCAGAAGUCUACAAACCAUCACAUACCACUAGUGACCGAGUCAAGGGUGGACAAGCACCUUCAAUCAGACCCAGCCUCCAUGUUGAAAUAAAGGAAUUCAAAAUUGUGCUUCUAAAACCCUUUCCCUGUUACCUCCAAUGUCCACCUCCUUAAAGUGGAAGAAAAAACAAAUUGGAUAAUACUUUUUACUUUCAAAGAAUGGAUGAGAGACAAA
Marmota monax (woodchuck) is the source of this 1430-nucleotide long non-coding RNA. RefSeq lists it as uncharacterized. The transcript has 3 exons. The record is from RefSeq and is a predicted model, not a curated record. NCBI's taxonomy places the organism in Eukaryota, Metazoa, Chordata, Mammalia, Rodentia, Sciuridae.